GACAGAGGGUGCAAACGUUGUUCGGAAUUACUGGGCGUAAAGCGCGUGUAGGCAGCUCGGCAAGUCGGGUGUGAAAGCCCUGGGCUCAACCUAGGAAGUGCACUCGAAACUUCCGAGCUGGAGUGCUGGAGAGGAAGGCGGAAUUCUCGGUGUAGAGGUGAAAUUCGUAGAUAUCGAGAGGAACACCGGUGGCGAAGGCGGCCUUCUGGACAGUAACUGACGCUGAGACGCGAAAGCGUGGGGAGCAAACAGG
This 253-nucleotide ribosomal RNA is filed under the name uncultured bacterium. Its description in RNAcentral is "partial 16S ribosomal RNA". It matches the Rfam family "Bacterial small subunit ribosomal RNA", at positions 524 to 776 of the family's 1533-position model. The record is from RNAcentral.